This 603-nucleotide ribosomal RNA is filed under the name bacterium. Its description in RNAcentral is "bacterial SSU rRNA". It matches the Rfam family "Bacterial small subunit ribosomal RNA", at positions 1 to 589 of the family's 1533-position model. The record is from RNAcentral.
UCUACGGAGAGUUUGAUCCUGGCUCAGAACUAACGCUGGUGGCGUGUCUUAGUCAUGCAAGUCGAACGAGAAAGUACCCUUCGGGGUGCGAGUACAGUGGCGGACGGGUGAGUAACACGUGGGCAACCUGCCUUUGAGUGGGGGACAACCCCUCUAACGAGGGGCUAAUACCGCAUAAUGCAGCAAUUUCGCAUGGAAAUGCUGUUAAAGGGGCUGCUUGCAGUCUCGCUUGAAGAUGGGCCCGCGGUCCAUUAGCUAGUUGGUGAGGUAACGGCUCACCAAGGCAACGAUGGAUAGCCGGCCUGAGAGGGUGAACGGUCACACUGGAACUGAGAUAAGGUCCAGUCCCCUACGGGGGCCAGCAGUCUAGAAAUUUGCGCAAUGGACGAAAGUCUGACGCAGCGACGCCACGUGGAGGAUGAAGCCUUUAGGGGUGUAAACUCCUGUCAGGAGGGAAGAAAGCGCACAAUAACUUUGUGCGUCUGACGGUACCUCCAGAGGAAGCCCCGGCUAACUUCGUGCCAGCAGCCGCGGUAAUACGAAGGGGGCAAGCGUUGUUCGGAUUUACUGGGCGUAAAGGGCGCGCAGGCGGACCAACAAGUC